RNAcentral lists this ribosomal RNA (337 nucleotides) under Blastocystis sp. RNAcentral's name for it is "SSU rRNA". It matches the Rfam family "Eukaryotic small subunit ribosomal RNA", at positions 21 to 370 of the family's 1831-position model. The record is from RNAcentral. Lineage: Eukaryota; Bigyra; Opalinata; Blastocystidae.
UCUAUGUAGUCAUACGCUCGUCUCAAAGAUUAAGCCAUGCAUGUGUAAGUAUAACUAAUUGACUUUGAAACUGCGAAUGGCUCAUUAUAUCAGUUAUAGUUUAUUUGGUGAAGGAUACUAAUUGGAUAACCGUAGUAAUUCUAGGGCUAAUACAUGAGUAAAGUCCCGUUGGGAUGUGUUUAUUAGAAUGAAAACCAUAUGCUUCGGCAUGAUAGUGAGUAAUAGUAACCUAUCGUAUCGCAUGCUUAAAGUAGCGAUGAGUCUUUCAAGUUUCUGCCCUAUCAGCUUUCGAUGGUAGCAUAUGGGUCUACCAUGGCAGUAACGGGUAACGAAAAAA